RNAcentral lists this ribosomal RNA (446 nucleotides) under uncultured bacterium. RNAcentral describes it as "partial 16S ribosomal RNA". It matches the Rfam family "Bacterial small subunit ribosomal RNA", at positions 338 to 795 of the family's 1533-position model. The record is from RNAcentral.
CCUACGGGUGGCAGCAGUCGAGAAUCAUUCACAAUGGGGGAAACCCUGAUGGUGCGACGCCGCGUGGGGGAAUGAAGGUCUUCGGAUUGUAAACCCCUGUCAUGUGGGAGCAAAUUAAAAAGCUAGUACCCCAAGAGGAAGAGACCGCUAACUCUGUGCCAGCAGCCGCGGUAAUACAGAGGGCUCAAGCGUUGUUCGGAAUCACUGGGCGUAAAGCGUGCGUAGGCUGUUUCGUAAGUCGUGUGUGAAAGGCGCGGGCUCAACCCGCGGACGGCACAUGAUACUGCGAGACUAGAGUAAUGGAGGGGGAAGCGGAAUUCUCGGUGUAGCAGUGAAAUGCGUAGAUAUCGAGAGGAACACUCGUGGCGAAGGCGGGUUCCUGGACAUUAACUGACGCUGAGGCACGAAGGCCAGGGGAGCGAAAGGGAUUAGAUACCCUGGUAGUC